AUGAGGAAUAUUGCGCAAUGGGCGAAAGCCUGACGCAGCGACGCCGCGUGGGUGAGGAAGUCCUUCGGGAUGUAAAGCCCUUUUCUCCGGGACGAAACGGACGGUACCGGAGGAAUAAGCCCCGGCUAACUACGUGCCAGCAGCCGCGGUAAUACGUAGGGGGCAAGCGUUGUCCGGAUUUACUGGGCGUAAAGCGCGUGUAGGCGGAAGUGCCAGUCCGGCCUGAAAGCCCCCGGCUCAACCGGGGAUCCGGGUCGGAAACUGUACUUCUUGAGGGCGGCAGAGGCGUGUGGAAUUCCUGGUGUAGCGGUGAAAUGCGUAGAGAUCAGGAGGAACACCCAAGGCGAAGGCAGCACGCUGGGCCGGCCCUGACGCUGAGACGCGAAAGCGUGGGGAGCGAACGGGAUUAGAAACCCCGGUAGUCC
RNAcentral lists this ribosomal RNA (425 nucleotides) under uncultured bacterium. RNAcentral's name for it is "bacterial SSU rRNA". It matches the Rfam family "Bacterial small subunit ribosomal RNA", at positions 354 to 796 of the family's 1533-position model. The record is from RNAcentral.